AUGUGUGUGAUGAUCAUUCCUUUCGUCAUUCUCACAGUCAACGUGUUAAAUUUUGUAUUUUUGCUAGCACGAGUGAACUGAUGGGAAGAAGAGAGACCAUAACAAUGCUUCAGUGCUAGUGUGUCCCUUAAAGACAACAACAGAUAAUGAACACUACGCGACUAUCACUGUAACUAUCAGCCUCCCAGACUAUCCUGUAAAAUAGUUUUAUAUUCUGUAGAAGAGAACCUGAGGAGUAAUAUUAAUUAUACUUUGUAAUAUUCUGUGAGAUACUACGAGCCUAUGUAUAUUAUGAUACGGAGAUAAUCUUAACAUAAAAAUCUUUAUAUUG
Molecule: non-coding RNA, 331 nt
Organism: Cherax quadricarinatus
Lineage: Eukaryota; Metazoa; Arthropoda; Malacostraca; Decapoda; Parastacidae
Source: RefSeq, a predicted model, not a curated record